Neltuma alba is the source of this 478-nucleotide long non-coding RNA. RefSeq lists it as uncharacterized. NCBI's taxonomy places the organism in Eukaryota, Viridiplantae, Streptophyta, Magnoliopsida, Fabales, Fabaceae. The record is from RefSeq and is a predicted model, not a curated record. The transcript is spliced from 2 exons.
UCUGGUGACAAAGGAACUCAGCUACUCAUCAAGGAAGUCUACCUACAUACUCCUCAAGCUUCCAUUCAGAAAUUUAAAGGUUGUAGACUGAAAGGGAAGUGGGGAAACAUUAGAGGCAUGCCGAGCGCAUGAACAAUGUUGGAGGACGAUAUGUCAUUAAAUGGCUGGAAACUUGGCAACAAAAUAUCCUUUGGAUUAUACAGUAGAAGGACUACUAGCUAGCCAAGAAAAGAAUCUCGAUCCCUCCUUCUAGAACAUGGACACGUGGAAGGAUCUUCACAAUUCCUCCAGGCCCCACCACCACCCUUUCAUCUGGAGAUGUUGGCACAUAGUUCAAGCUUGAUGCAAACCCAUUGGAAGACAUGACCCCAAUUUAUAUGGAAAUUGUGCGAGUUGAUUUGACUGAAUUCCACAAUGGGUAGUUGCACACGCAACAUUCCUCAUGUUUAGCGAUAAAUUUUAACUUAAGUUUUUUCAA